This 495-nucleotide ribosomal RNA is filed under the name uncultured bacterium. RNAcentral's name for it is "partial 16S ribosomal RNA". It matches the Rfam family "Bacterial small subunit ribosomal RNA", at positions 30 to 507 of the family's 1533-position model. The record is from RNAcentral.
UGAACGCUGGCGGCGUGCCUACUACAUGCACGUCGAGCGAACAGACGAGGAGCUUGCUCCUCUGACGUUAGCGGCGGACGGGUGAGUAACACGUGGAUAACCUACCUAUAAGACUGGGAUAACUUCGGGAAACCGGAGCUAAUACCGGAUAAUAUAUUGAACCGCAUGGUUCAAUAGUGAAAGACGGUUUUGCUGUCACUUAUAGAUGGAUCCGCGCCGCAUUAGCUAGUUGGUAAGGUAACGGCUUACCAAGGCGACGAUGCGUAGCCGACCUGAGAGGGUGAUCGGCCACACUGGAACUGAGACACGGUCCAGACUCCUACGGGAGGCAGCAGUAGGGAAUCUUCCGCAAUGGGCGAAAGCCUGACGGAGCAACGCCGCGUGAGUGAUGAAGGUCUUCGGAUCGUAAAACUCUGUUAUUAGGGAAGAACAAAUGUGUAAGUAACUAUGCACGUCUUGACGGUACCUAAUCAGAAAGCCACGGCUAACUACGUG